This 1343-nucleotide ribosomal RNA is filed under the name uncultured bacterium. RNAcentral describes it as "16S ribosomal RNA". It matches the Rfam family "Bacterial small subunit ribosomal RNA", at positions 28 to 1378 of the family's 1533-position model. The record is from RNAcentral.
GACGAACGCUGGCGGCGUGCUUAACACAUGCAAGUCGAACGGGAAGGCCCUGCUUUUGUGGGGUGCUCGAGUGGCGAACGGGUGAGUAACACGUGAGUAACCUGCCCUUGACUUUGGGAUAACUUCAGGAAACUGGGGCUAAUACCGGAUAGGAGCUCCUGCUGCAUGGUGGGGGUCGGAAAGUUUCGGCGGUUGGGGAUGGACUCGCGGCUUAUCAGCUUGUUGGUGGGGUAGUGGCUUACCAAGGCUUUGACGGGUAGCCGGCCUGAGAGGGUGACCGGCCACAUUGGGACUGAGAUACGGCCCAGACUCCUACGGGAGGCAGCAGUGGGGAAUAUUGCACAAUGGGCGGAAGCCUGAUGCAGCAACGCCGCGUGCGGGAUGACGGCCUUCGGGUUGUAAACCGCUUUCGCCUGUGACGAAGCGUGAGUGACGGUAAUGGGUAAAGAAGCACCGGCUAACUACGUGCCAGCAGCCGCGGUGAUACGUAGGGUGCGAGCGUUGUCCGGAUUUAUUGGGCGUAAAGGGCUCGUAGGUGGUUGAUCGCGUCGGAAGUGUAAUCUUGGGGCUUAACCCUGAGCGUGCUUUCGAUACGGGUUGACUUGAGGAAGGUAGGGGAGAAUGGAAUUCCUGGUGGAGCGGUGGAAUGCGCAGAUAUCAGGAGGAACACCAGUGGCGAAGGCGGUUCUCUGGGCCUUUCCUGACGCUGAGGAGCGAAAGCGUGGGGAGCGAACAGGCUUAGAUACCCUGGUAGUCCACGCUGUAAACGGUGGGUACUAGGUGUGGGGUCCAUUCCACGGGUUCCGUGCCGUAGCUAACGCUUUAAGUACCCCGCCUGGGGAGUACGGCCGCAAGGCUAAAACUCAAAGGAAUUGACGGGGCCCCGCACAAGCGGCGGAGCAUGCGGAUUAAUUCGAUGCAACGCGUAGAACCUUACCUGGGUUUGACAUGGAUCGGGAGCGCUCAGAGAUGGGUGUGCCUCUUUUGGGGUCGGUUCACAGGUGGUGCAUGGCUGUCGUCAGCUCGUGUCGUGAGAUGUUGGGUUAAGUCCCGCAACGAGCGCAACCCUUGUUCACUGUUGCCAGCACGUUAUGGUGGGGACUCAGUGGAGACCGCCGGGGUCAACUCGGAGGAAGGUGGGGAUGACGUCAAGUCAUCAUGCCCCUUAUGUCCAGGGCUUCACGCAUGCUACAAUGGCUGGUACAGAGAGUGGCGAGCCUGUGAGGGUGAGCGAAUCUCGGAAAGCCGGUCUCAGUUCGGAUUGGGGUCUGCAACUCGACCUCAUGAAGUCGGAGUCGCUAGUAAUCGCAGAUCAGCAACGCUGCGGUGAAUACGUUCCCGGG